UACGUAGGGUGCAAGCGUUGUCCGGAAUUAUUGGGCGUAAAGAGCUCGUAGGCGGUCUGUCGCGUCUGCUGUGAAAACUCGGGGCUUAACCCCGGGCCUGCGGUGGGUACGGGCAGACUGGAGUGCGGUAGGGGAGACUGGAAUUCCUGGUGUAGCGGUGAAAUGCGCAGAUAUCAGGAGGAACACCGGUGGCGAAGGCGGGUCUCUGGGCCGUAACUGACGCUGAGGAGCGAAAGCGUGGGGAGCGAACAGG
Molecule: ribosomal RNA, 253 nt
Filed under: uncultured bacterium
Lineage: Bacteria
Description: partial 16S ribosomal RNA
Rfam family: Bacterial small subunit ribosomal RNA
Source: RNAcentral